RNAcentral lists this unclassified non-coding RNA (342 nucleotides) under soil metagenome. Its description in RNAcentral is "partial contains 5.8S ribosomal RNA, internal transcribed spacer 2, and large subunit ribosomal RNA". The stretch from base 1 to 120 matches the Rfam family "5.8S ribosomal RNA", at positions 35 to 154 of the family's 154-position model. The record is from RNAcentral.
GAUGAAGAACGCAGCGAAAUGCGAUAAGUAAUGUGAAUUGCAGAAUUCAGUGAAUCAUCGAAUCUUUGAACGCACAUUGCGCCCGCUAGUAUUCUGGCGGGCAUGCCUGUCCGAGCGUCAUUUCAACCCUCAAGCCCCCGGGCUUGGUGUUGGGGAUCGGCGAGCCUCCGCGCCCGCCGUCCCCUAAAUCUAGUGGCGGUCUCGCUGUAGCUUCCUCUGCGUAGUAGCACACCUCGCACUGGGAAACAGCGCGGCCACGCCGUUAAACCCCCAACUUCUGAACGUUGACCUCGGAUCAGGUAGGAAUACCCGCUGAACUUAAGCAUAUCAAUAAGCGGAGGA